UUAACUCCAUUAAACAGACGAACACAACAAGGAAGAGAUUCUGCUUCAUCUCCUUAGGUCGACAGAUUCAUUCAAGAGUCGACGGAAAUUUUAAGGGAAGGUCGAUGAGUGUGCAGUCAGGAGAUCAAUCUCCUACUUUGUGAAACAUGAUUUGAGAAAUUGUUGGCCCAAUUUUUAUAGCAAAGGAGCUCGAAAUGUUUGGAUGCAUUUAGCCGGAGGCUACUUACCAGCGCCGGGGAGUUUGCCAUUCGACCUGGUUUUUUUUUUCCACGGCCACUGAAAUCGAAAGGGAACAGAAGAAGGAGGUGCAAGAUUAUGAACUGCGAGAAUGGACAUGUGGUGUAUAUGUGCUAGGGUUUGCCGAGGACAGAAAUGGAAAUACAAAAAUUUAUUAAGGAUAGAAAUGGAAAGAUGUAUUAAACUCA
This is a non-coding RNA of Salvia hispanica, 425 nucleotides long. Lineage: Eukaryota; Viridiplantae; Streptophyta; Magnoliopsida; Lamiales; Lamiaceae. The record is from RefSeq and is a predicted model, not a curated record.